This is a long non-coding RNA of Euleptes europaea (tarantolino), 331 nucleotides long. RefSeq lists it as uncharacterized. The record is from RefSeq and is a predicted model, not a curated record. The transcript has 3 exons. Lineage: Eukaryota; Metazoa; Chordata; Lepidosauria; Squamata; Sphaerodactylidae.
CUUCUGGUCCGAUGACAAACUUCACUGCUUUGGCUCGGCCAACUUGGAUGGCACAGACAUAAAGGUAUUCCAGCUGGCUCAGAUUCAUAGUCCCUUCUCGGUGACGGUCUUUGAGGAUUACCUCUAUUGGUCCGAGAUGAAAACGAGGACUGUGCAGAAGGUAGACAAAAGGACCGGCAAGAACAGAGCAGUCCUCAUCAAGCGCCAUGGACAGCCAUAUGGGCUAAAGGUAAUGCAUGAAGUUCUUCGGCCAGCGGCACCCAACCCCUGUGAAAGAAGCGGCUGUUCACAUCUGUGCCUGUUGACUGCCUACGGAAGAGGAAGCUGCUUU